ACCUGGUACAAAUCAGAGGUUGGCUCUUACUUGGUGCUUAUCUCUUUAUUUCUGUGGUAAAUACUCUGCUUUUCAGGUAGUUAUUGGUUGCAGUUUUUAUGCUCUGUAGAAUCUUAAACUUAAAAUGCAACUGAAGUGGUCGCUUUCAUUUAUUUCUGACCCAGAGUAGGUAUCUCAGAAUGCCAAAUGCCCAGCACUAGGAAAAAUAGGUUGACUUCUGCUGAAAUAGCUGAAUUCCCUGACUUCAGUGAAAAGAACAUGUAUGCAACUCUAUGCCACGUUCAUGUAUCUGUGCAUAUUCAUGCCUGUUGAUCUGCAGUACUUUCACUUUCUGAUGCUAUGCAAUGUAGGCAUGCAAAGAAUCUGAAGCAGGCUUACAGUAGCCCUGCAGAAACAGCCUAAACCUGCUGACUUUUCCUGCUUGUGGCUCCACAAAUAAAACACUGCAGUCUGUAAAUGUGGAUUGCACAACUGGACCCAUCAGUAGAGUGUGAUGGAAUUGAAGUUGACUCGUCUCUUCUUACUGAGGAGUGGAACAUUACUGGUUCUCUUCAUACAUAGCUCACCUGUUUUCAGAGGAAUUGCAGCAUCAGGAUUUCAGGACAUCAAGUGGGCAGGUCUGAAAUGUACCACGUGUGGAAUGAAGCCUACUGAAAAACAUUUAAUCUUUUGGGAUGAGUGAGAGGAGUGCAGAGGGGAAACUGCAUUUGAAGUCAGAGCAGUAAUAAUGACUCAGAGGUUUGUACUGUGCUAUCACUGUGCUGUUAAGCCUGAUUCCUCCUUUCACGUAAAUUCUCUUGGCUUAUUCUGAAACGCAUUUAAAAUGUUAAGUAAUACAAAGUCAGUGGAGCUGGUGAUACUUCAGAGUUCUCAGAGACUGAUUGUUUUACGUUUCAGUGCAGAUUAGAUCAGAAGUCACUUUGUAUGAAAUAUCCUUGAGUGUGUAAUCUAUUGAUUUAAUUUUGUAGCCUCAGUCUAGAAUUUGAGAAGUCCAAAACAGAAAGUCCUUCACAUUUACUUCAUUGGAUUUCUCUUCAUGUGUUGUCAGUAAUUCUCUAUGUAAACAGACAGGAAAUUGUACACAACUUGAAAGCUUGAGCAGCUGUCCAAAACAUUCCUGCUAAGAUUGAUUAAUACCUGUUUUUUCUAGAAGUACUUUGAGAGUAUUAGAAGAAGUUUUAAAAUUCACAGUUAUUAUAAUGGGUCGUAUCAAUAUUUACGAAACUUCUUUGAGAAUGAUCCCAGACUUGCACUUUCUUUUGCCUGGAAUAUAUAUGUCUUGCCAUUUUGAAGAAACUGUUUCUAUUUCAACGACAUGAAUAUAAAGAGAAUUAUGCUAAACAACCUCU
This 1349-nucleotide long non-coding RNA is filed under the name Phasianus colchicus (ring-necked pheasant). Its description in RNAcentral is "lncRNA (ENSPCLG00000020653.1)". The record is from RNAcentral. Lineage: Eukaryota; Metazoa; Chordata; Aves; Galliformes; Phasianidae.